Nerophis ophidion (straightnose pipefish) is the source of this 911-nucleotide long non-coding RNA. RefSeq lists it as uncharacterized. NCBI's taxonomy places the organism in Eukaryota, Metazoa, Chordata, Actinopteri, Syngnathiformes, Syngnathidae. The record is from RefSeq and is a predicted model, not a curated record. The transcript has 3 exons.
UUUCGUGGGCCCGCUCAACCCUUAACGCAUCUUAUAGUCGUGGGAGAUGGCGGCUUCACACAGCUGUCCCUUAAAGUCCAGCUCCAGGGUGAACUCCAGGUCACGCUGUGGACGUCCCAGCAAGAACAGAAACAGUCAGCUGGUGCAAGAAGACACUUUUCAAGGUGGGUUUCUUUACCACAUUCUUCUCGUUGGGCCUGAUGGCGAUGCUGCCGAAUAUCUCCUCGCCCUUCUUCACAGUCAGGUAGUCCUCCAAGUAGAACACCGUCUGUUUCCAGUGCGUGCUGGCAGCGUCUGGAGCUGAGAAGAGCAAAGCAGUCGGAAAGGAGGAGAGCAUCCCCAGACGACGUGUGAACAUGGAGGACAUCGCCCAGAUGUUAGCAGCGGUCAUCCUCAGCCUCGGGCCCAACAAUUGAAGCCAAACAUAGAACCUCCUCUACCGCACGUUAUGGAGCUCCACCUCCUCCACCUUGCCUUUGAAGAUGGUGAUGACUGCAUGCGGGGAAAAGAAACUAAGCUGCAGGACAAUUCCAGCUUCUUUUGGACCAUCUUUGGACAUCUGUGGGCGUAUUUUGCUGGUAAGUAUUUUACACCAUGUAUUUGUAAUAUUUACUAUUACGGGGCGGUUUAGGGGCUUCACGGUGGCAGAGGGGUUAGUGCGUCUGCCUCACAAUACGAAGUUCCUGCAGUCCUGGGUUCAAAUCCAGGCUCGGGAUCUUUCUGUGUGGAGUUUGCAUGUUCUCCCCGUGAAUGCGUGGGUUCCCUCCGGGUACUCCGGCUUCCUCCCACUUCCAAAGACAUGCACCUGGGGAUAGGUUGAUUGGCAACACUAAAAUUGGCCCUAGUGUGUGAAUGUGGGUGUGAAUGUUGUCUGUCUAUCUGUGUUGGCCCUGCGAUGAGGUGGCGACUUG